GCCUAAAUCAAUGCUAAACAGCACUACAAAACAACCCCAAAACAAAGUCAAACCAUUUGCGCUGAGCUAGUAAAUGAGAUUAAACACUAUCUAAGCCUACCUAGUACCGCAAGGGAAAAAUGAAAGAAUAAUGAAAAACCCAAGCACAGCACAGCAAAGAUAUACCCCUGUACCUCUUGCAUCAUGGUCUAGCCAAACCCCCAUAAACAAAGAGGACUUAAGUCUGUCUACCCGAAACCAAACGAGCUAUUUCUGGUUAGCUUUUUACUAGAGCACACCCGUCCCUGUAGCAAAAGGGUGGGAAAACCUAGAAAUAGAGGCAAAACGCCUACCGAGCUUGGUGAUAGCUGGCUACUCAGCAAAAGAAUUUAAGUUCACUCUCAGACCAACCUACCGGGACUAUAAGCACUAAGCAAAGCCCCUCCCUCCUGUCUGAGAAAAAUCAAUGAGGGUACAGCCUCAUUGACACGGAAUACAGCCCGAAUUGCGAGAAACCACCCAUAAAGUUUUAGUGGGCUCCAAAGCAGCCACCAAUAAGUGCGUCAAAGCUUAAACUAAAACUAAUUAUUUACCUUAAACUGAACUCCCAACCCUUAGCGAGUAAUUUUAUUUGUUAAUAAAAAUACCCAUGCUAGAACUAGUAAUGAGAAUACCUCCCUUCUCUCCACACACCUUUAAAUCAAAAAUAGAAACACCGCUGAUAUUUAACAGACCACAAACGGAAAGACACAAACUACUAGCCCCCGUGUCUUCCUCUCUGUUACCCCAACACAGGAGUGUAAGAAAGAAAGGCUAAAAUCUGCAAAAGGAACUCGGCAAAAAUUAGUCCCAACUGUUUACCAAAAACAUAGCCUUUAGCCCAACAAGUAUUAAAGGUCUCGCCUGCCCAGUGACUAUUUAACGGCCGCGGUAUCCUAACCGUGCAAAGGUAGCAUAAUCACUUGUCCUCUAAAUAAGGACUAGAAUGAACGGCUAAAUGAGGACUAAACUGUCUCUUACAGAAGGCCAAUGAAACUGAUCUUUCAGUUCAAAAGCUGAAAUGUUAUCAUAAGACGAGAAGACCCUGUGGAGCUUAAAACCUUGACCACUAAACAUGUACAGCCUUGGUUUUUAGUUGGGGCGACUUCGGAGCAAAAGACAACCUCCGAUAAAACAUAUCAAGAUCUACACAUCAAAAUAAUCAUUUGACCCAGUAGUUUAACAAAACUAUCUGAUCAAUGAACCAAGUUACCCCAGGGAUAACAGCGCUAUCCCCUUCUAGAGUCCAUAUCGACAAGGGGGCUUACGACCUCGAUGUUGGAUCAGGAAAUCCUAAUAGUGCAGCUGCUAUUAAGGGCUCGUUUGUUCAACGAUUAAUAUCCUACGUGAUCUGAGUUCAGACCGGAGCAAUCCAGGUCGGUUUCUAUCUAUGCAGGCCCAUCCCUAGUACGAAAGGACCGGGACGGAAAGAUCCAUGCCAAAAGCACAUCUUACCAAAAUUGCUGAUUUUUUACUAAAGCAGACACUUGGCCUACGUGUCAGCCUAAAAUAAGGGUUG
RNAcentral lists this ribosomal RNA (1537 nucleotides) under Eremias scripta (Sand racerunner). RNAcentral describes it as "16S ribosomal RNA". It matches the Rfam family "Bacterial large subunit ribosomal RNA", at positions 436 to 2925 of the family's 2925-position model. Lineage: Eukaryota; Metazoa; Chordata; Lepidosauria; Squamata; Lacertidae. The record is from RNAcentral.